RNAcentral lists this microRNA (21 nucleotides) under Mus musculus (house mouse). Its description in RNAcentral is "mmu-miR-5621-3p". Lineage: Eukaryota; Metazoa; Chordata; Mammalia; Rodentia; Muridae. The record is from miRBase by way of RNAcentral.
UGGGCCCUCCAGACCUCAUGC